CAGUCAACUGUUCAUUUGUCGUCUCCUGUUACCUUCGACCAUCGCCUGUAUGUAACGGAAGACUUAACGUUUUGCCUCCACUAUCCCCAGAUUUAUUGUUAGCUGUUAAUGAUUACAUUGAAGCUAAGCUCUGAAUCAACUUCCCAUCUUUCUAGCUUCCCUUCUUCUUCACCAUUUCAAACACUAUAUAUAUAAGCCUGCAGAAGAAGUCUCCGGACAGCUUUAUGUCUCGCUAUUUCUCUUUCAUAGCAUACUAUACUUUAGAGCGUAGACUAACCUAGCCAAUCCCCCAAAUAGGUAUGUCUGAGUUGAGGUCUGGGAGAUGUAAGGAUUACUUCAUGACCUGUGUCCUCGGUUUAUAGGAAACAAGAAAGUCAAUCUCCACCACUUUCAAACACCAUCUCCGAGAAGUCACCAGAAGUAAUCAUUACUUAAAACUGACCAUAUCACCUGUCUCUAUCCGCUUCACGCCUCAAACCAUCUUCGUCCAGGUCCGUAACAAAAAUAUUGGUUGGAUUGGAUACAUUUCUUAGACAAACAAACGCAAUGCCGUUUGGUACAAUUGUUGGUGAAGUUUUGGGCAUCAAAACCACAUACAACGAAUCAACGAUGAAACCGCAGACAAUUCAAAGGAUUAUGAUUAAUGCAUAUCUCCUCCACUCUGUCCCACAGACUGUGGAUUUCCUUUGCACUGGUUGAUGCUUCACUUCCUGCUUAUUGAUACUACAAAUGGUUGGUGCUUCACUUCUUGCUCGAAGUGCUCAAGAAGACAAGAAUGCUUCAACGUGGAUUCACAUCGUUCACAUGUUAAACUUGCCGUGUUUCAAAAAAAAAAAAAAAAAAACUUGCCAUCAGAAAGCAGUUGGGGUCCUUAGGUACCUUAUCCAGUUCUCAGUCUCUGAUGGAGCUGAAACAACUGUCUUUGUGGCAUUUGAUAGAGAGAUGACAAAGCUAACCAAUGCACGUGCGGUAGACAUUGGCCAACUAAUUGUGUUGGGAAGCCAGAGCUAAUAACCAUCCCACAGUUAGUCAAAGACUUGGUUGGCAUCACUUUCAGUUUUCAGGAGAAGCUUUCACCGUUUAACUCGCCUCCAAGCAUCAGUCCUUAACCAUAUCACGGAUUUGUUACCGCAACCAGCGUUCACUACUACCAAACUUUGCAGAAAAUGCAAGUCUAACCAAGCUAAAUAUGUUCUCUCCUUAUGGUUAUAUAGAUUGUUCUGGUGUUGUAUGGUUCAUGCCGAGGGGGUGAUAAGAACAAUCCGGGAGAUCAUGGAGCUAGGGCUGUUUCAUCUAAGACGUCCAUAUGUGUCCAAAGUUGCCCCUGGUAUGGUACCUCAGCUGGGAUAGGUUCUUGUGGAGAUAUAGAAGGAGCAACAUCCUCAAAAAACUGUCAUGCCUGAUGAAUCUGUGAGUGGUGCCAUUCACAACUAUCGACUCUGCUGAUCUUUCGGAGGAAGGGGGCAACGGCAAGAAGCCACGCAAUGCUUAGCUUUCUAGCUCAGGGAGUUGGGAAACCCAAAUGCUCACAGAAGCUCACAUCCAUAGGAUUUUAGUUUACUUUUGCGCUACAAUAAAUUUGUUUAGGAUUUCGGUGAUAUCUUGAAUCAUGACAUCUCUGUUUUUUAUCUUCUCAUUUUCUUAGCUUUCAUACUACGUGACUUAUUGGGCCCCACUCCUUUUUAAUAAAAUUCCACUUCUCAUG
Long non-coding RNA from Brassica napus (rape), 1705 nucleotides. RefSeq lists it as uncharacterized. The record is from RefSeq and is a predicted model, not a curated record. The transcript is spliced from 6 exons. Lineage: Eukaryota; Viridiplantae; Streptophyta; Magnoliopsida; Brassicales; Brassicaceae.